RNAcentral lists this ribosomal RNA (465 nucleotides) under uncultured bacterium. Its description in RNAcentral is "partial 16S ribosomal RNA". It matches the Rfam family "Bacterial small subunit ribosomal RNA", at positions 28 to 507 of the family's 1533-position model. The record is from RNAcentral.
GGCGAACGCUGGCGGCGUGCUUAACACAUGCAAGUCGUACGGUAAGGCCCUUUCGGGGGUACACUAGUGGCGAACGGUUGCGUAACACUUGAGUAACCUUCCCACUCCUUUUGUAUAACGCUAGUAACCUGGUGCUACUACUGGUUAUGUCCUCCUCCUGCUUGGUGUGGGUUCGAAAGCUCCGGCGGUUGUGGAUGGUCUCGCGGCCUAUAAGCUUGUUGGUGGGGUAGUGGGCUACCAAGGCGACCACGGGUAGCGGGACUGAGAGGGUGACCGGCGAUAGAGAGACUGAGGGAAGGCACAGACGCCGAAGGGAGGAAGAAGGGGGGAAGAUUGAACAAGGGGCGCAAGCCGGAUGAAGCAAGGCCGCGGGUGGGAUAACGGUCUUCGGGUUGAAAAAAGGCUGCAGCAGGGAAGAAGCUUUUUGUGACGGUACCUAAAGAAGAAGCACCGGCUAACUACGUG